AGGCCUCCUUUAAAGACCCUGGAAGCGGACCCUUGUAAGAAACGCCGCGGGAAGAAAGAGCCACCCCUAUGGACUGUUGAUCAGGGCCUUUAUUGGGCGGUCACUCUCCGGCAGAACUCCCAGGGGCGGGUGAGCAAGGAAGCGAAGGGAGUCUGCGAGGUAUGAGGGGUGGGGAAGGGUUUUAUAACCAGGGCCGGGCUCCCAUAUAAGGAAGAAAGCGCGGGCUCAGCGGUGAUUGGUGUCCAAGGGCUCCUGAUUGGACGGCUUGGUUGUCGGCCCACCUCCGGGACUUGUCUGCGGCACUUUUCUGGGGCAUGCCUCAACACGCCCGGCAAGCCUCAACAUGUCCGGGCAUGCCUCAACAUGCCUGACCUUUCAACCCUUGAGGGUGCUCAUCUGGCUCCCCCCCACUUUCUUUCCUUAGUGUUCCAAGACUGAUUGUUUUAGUGACCUCAGAAUGUUCCACGGCGGAACGAUGUGAGUGUUGGUGUCCAGCCCUGCACUGUGUGGGCUCCUAGCAUCCAUCCAGGGUUGGCUCGAGAGGCCGUUCCUGCAGACGGCCCCGUGGCCCCACCCGUGUGGCUGCCUCGCGCUCUGCCUCUGUCCCCGCUGGGGGUUCAGGCUUCACCCGGAAGCUCUGAGGGUGUGAAACCACGCAGCUCCAGUCAGUGUGGCCAGUGUUCAGAAACCACAGGAGAGUCAUUUGUUCUGGACUCUGGGACUCCCGUGGUCGGUCCUCCCUGCCUCCAAUGGAUGCCUGAAGCCAGGAAAGCUAGACACCCUCGGCCUCUUCUGCGUCCUCCGGAAAAUCCAUUUGUCCAGGCGGAUGGGCAUGUCUUCGGCUCAGGCAGCCUGUGCCUUCCCUCUGUCCAUGACCUUGCUCAGAUUCAGCUGAGCACAUCCACACAACAGGGACAAGAGUGCUACUUCUGUGGAACAAGCUUAGCACAGACCUUCCCACAGGAUCGCCCGGGGUUGCCUAGCAAUCUGACAGCACUCUGCCUCAGCAGACACACGCCUCGGAUGGAUUUUUCCUAUUUUUAAUUUGUUUUCUGGGUGGGUAUUAUUGUGCAAUCACAGGCAGAGCUCUAAGACAUGGCAUGGGUCCCACUCAAAACAAGCAGAUCUGAGAAGAUCGGGAAGGACCCAGCUGCCCCCGAGCGGGCCACGGUAUCUGUUCUGGGAGGCUCUUGGCUCUGACUGUCGCCCCUGGUUAUGGAAGUUGGAUGGUGCCUGGGAACCCUCUGCUGGCUCUUCUCAUGCAAUUUCCCAGGCCUUCUCGGCUCUCCCAAAGCAGCCAGGUUACCAAGCAGCCCAAAGAGGGAAAUGUGCUCGAUGUGGGCCAGGGACCCUGAGCUGCCUGGAUCUCCCUCUGACAUUUCCCAGCCACGUGGGAGGAGAGAUGGGACGAUUUGCAAGUGGCUCACCCUCCUUUGGAGAAGAUAAAUGUCAGAACUGAAAGCAACUGGGUACUGAUAUAGAGCUGCCUGCUCUUAAAUAAAAUAUCGAGUCUGGAAGUGUGUGUGUGUGACACUGCAGAUGCACCCACCUGCUCCCCUGCAUGUGAAAUAAGAGGCAGUGUGGCGGGGGGCGGGGGGGCGGGCGGGGGCAGCACUGCUGG
Long non-coding RNA from Capra hircus (goat), 1621 nucleotides. The record is from Ensembl. Lineage: Eukaryota; Metazoa; Chordata; Mammalia; Artiodactyla; Bovidae.